UACGAAGGGGGCUAGCGUUGUUCGGAAUUACUGGGCGUAAAGCGUAUGUAGGCGGAUUGUUAAGUCAGGGGUGAAAUCCCGAGGCUCAACCUCGGAACUGCCUUUGAUACUGGCUUUCUUGAGUUCGGGAGAGGUGAGUGGAACUCCUAGUGUAGAGGUGAAAUUCGUAGAUAUUAGGAAGAACACCAGUGGCGAAGGCGGCUCACUGGCCCGAAACUGACGCUGAUGUACGAAAGCGUGGGGAGCAAACAGG
This 253-nucleotide ribosomal RNA is filed under the name uncultured bacterium. Its description in RNAcentral is "partial 16S ribosomal RNA". It matches the Rfam family "Bacterial small subunit ribosomal RNA", at positions 524 to 776 of the family's 1533-position model. The record is from RNAcentral.